RNAcentral lists this ribosomal RNA (807 nucleotides) under uncultured bacterium. RNAcentral describes it as "bacterial SSU rRNA". It matches the Rfam family "Bacterial small subunit ribosomal RNA", at positions 548 to 1350 of the family's 1533-position model. The record is from RNAcentral.
GAAUUAUUGGGCGUAAAGAGCUCGUAGGCGGUUUGUCGCGUCUGCUGUGAAAUCCCGAGGCUCAACCUCGGGCCUGCAGUGGGUACGGGCAGACUAGAGUGCGGUAGGGGAGAUUGGAAUUCCUGGGUGUAGCGGUGGAAUGCGCAGAUAUCAGGAGGAACACCGAUGGCGAAGGCAGAUCUCUGGGCCGUAACUGACGCUGAGGAGCGAAAGGGUGGGGAGCAAACAGGCUUAGAUACCCUGGAUAGUCCAGCCCGGUAAACGUUGGGAACUAGUUGUGGGGUCCAUUCCACGGAUUCCGUGACGCAGCUAACGCAUUAAGUUCCCCGCCUGGGGAGUACGGCCGCAAGGCUAAAACUCAAAGGAAUUGACGGGGACCCGCACAAGCGGCGGAGCAUGCGGAUUAAUUCGAUGCAACGCGAAGAACCUUACCAAGGCUUGACAUAUACGAGAACGGGCCAGAAAUGGUCAACUCUUUGGACACUCGUAAACAGGUGGUGCAUGGUUGUCGUCAGCUCGUGUCGUGAGAUGUUGAGUUAAGUCCCGCAACGAGCGCAACCCUCGUUCUAUGUUGCCAGCGCGUAAUGGUGGGAACUCAUGGGAUACUGCCGGGGUCAACUCGGAGGAAGGUGGGGAUGACGUCAAAUCAUCAUGCCCCUUAUGUCUUGGGCUUCACGCAUGCUACAAUGGCCGGUACAAAGGGCUGCAAUACCGUGAGGUGGAGCGAAUCCCAAAAAGCCGGUCCCAGUUCGGAUUGAGGUCUGCAACUCGACCUCAUGAAGUCGGAGUCGCUAGUAAUCGCAGAUC